GUUUCUAUUACCUUAAGUUCUCAACUCAAGUUCGACUUGCUUCUAAGGUCUCUAUUACCUCAGGUUCUUGCCUCAAUCACUAGCUUAUAAGGUUUCCAUUAACCUAAUCAAGCUAACCACCCGACUCGGCCUCGAGUCAAUCAUCCGCGGAUAGUCCGCGCACUGGCUGCACAUCAGUCUGGCUGCCGUCACCGCCUACCGCAAAUCCGACUUAACCAUCUGGUGGCGAACUCAUCGCAUCGAACCCAACAACAACUCAAGUCAUGACUUAGCCAUCUGGCGGCGAACUAAUCGCACCUCACCCAACAAUGGUUCAAGACGUG
This 323-nucleotide long non-coding RNA is filed under the name Ananas comosus (pineapple). RNAcentral describes it as "long non-coding RNA (ACOM_LNC042177)". The record is from RNAcentral. Lineage: Eukaryota; Viridiplantae; Streptophyta; Magnoliopsida; Poales; Bromeliaceae.